Molecule: transfer-messenger RNA, 381 nt
Filed under: Spirochaetia
Lineage: Bacteria; Pseudomonadati; Spirochaetota
Also listed under: 1 other name
Description: Oceanispirochaeta sp002084805 Standard tmRNA
Rfam family: transfer-messenger RNA
About the family: Bacterial tmRNA, also known as 10Sa RNA or SsrA, is named for its dual tRNA and mRNA-like properties.
Source: RNAcentral
GGGGGUGUAAAGGUUUCGACUGUUGGAGCCCGGGGUGUGGGCUGCAAGUGGAGCGUUACCUCCUUAAACUACCUUUUUGAUAAGUGCCAAAAACAAUGAUGAAGUUAUCGUUUCUUUCGAUAACUCCGCACUUGCAAUCGCAGCUUAAUUAAGUGUUGCGACGGAUAUCGUACACGCCGUUCUGAGGGUGCGAAUAUCCGCCAGAAACCAGAACUUACCCUUUCUUUAGCCCGGGACUGAGGGGGGAAAUCUUUCCGGAAGUAGGUUAAUUCGGGGUCGUUUCUUUCCCUUGUUUUAUCCGAAUUACAAUAAGAAACUAAACUUGUAGAGGCUUAUGCAACGCCCAAUAGGACGCGGGUUCGACUCCCGCCACCUCCAUUA